ACAAAGAGGUGACAGCCGUUAUUAAUACCGCCUGUCGUACUUUGUUUUCUCUACAGACCACACACACACACUCUCUUUGCUUACGACUUCCGAGACAAAGAGAUAGAGAGAGAGAGACUGCAAAAAAAAAAAAAAAAAAGAAUUCUUGUAAAGCUUUUGCCUUUUAGAGGAAAGAACAGUGCCAGAUCUUAGAAGGAUCCGAAGACCCAUAAGGAGCAAAAAAGCAACAAAAUAACUUUUAACAAGUCAAAAAAAAAGACAAAGAAAAAUCUUAUUAUUACCCACAAGACAACAAACUUUGCAUUCCAAAUAAAACUCACUUCUCUCUUCUUCUUCUUCUUCUACUUCUCCUUCUUCUCUCUUGUUUUUUUUCGCUUUGACUUCUUUUCACUGUCCCUUUGUCUUCAUGUUCGUCAGUUUCUUGUUACUCCGGAACAAGGCUUUUGUGAGAUGACGACUCACGUGUUUGUACCAAGAGAGAGACAUGGAAAUAACAGAACAAGAUGGGACAAGAACUUCUUGAACAUGUGUUCCUUCUUUUUCUUCUUUCUCUUCUUUGUCAGUUUUCAGAUAGGUUUGUCUUCGUCAGCUUCUUCUUCUUCUGUUGGUUUUUCUCGUCGUCACUUCGUCGUGUCUCCGUCGCCACCGUCGAGAAAGGCUCUGAGCUACAGUACUACUACUACUACUACGGCGACGUUUCGUGGGCCAUUGAGAAGAGUAGAUGACAUUUAUGGAGACGACAAGAGAGUAGUUCACACGGGUCCCAAUCCUCUCCACAACUAACUUUUUACGCGUUGCUAUUAUUAUCACUUACCCUCCCUUCACCCACCACCUACGAGGGCUACGAAGUAAAACGCAAACGUGGAACGCCAAUCGCGAUCCGAAGGUACUGGCGUUUAUGUAAAAUCGUGUUUGUUAUAGAUUUUGUAAGUUUGGAGAUCCUAUUUUUUUGUUUUUUUUUUAAUUCAUGGAGCAUAGAGAAACGAUUAUAUUUAGCUUUUAGGGUAGGGAUUGUGUUCGGCUAUAUUCAACUCUUUUAAUGUUAGUAUUGAGAAUUUAUAACUAAAGGAGAUUAAAUUAUCUUGAUACUUUAUAUAACUAAAGAGGAAAAUUCUAAACUGGUUACAAGUGUUGCAACGGUUACAAUGUUGUUUGUGGUUUAUUCGGUGUGUUAUAACUAAAGAGAAAUCAAUAACUUAGAAAUAUUGAGUUGUCUUUUAUUUGGUGUGUUAUGUUUCAAGAAUUGUGAGAUGGUUUGGAUAUUUAGUGGUUGAAAUUUGAGAAGGCUAGUGCAAAACAUUCACACAUCUCAUUUGGUGUGUGAUGUUUUAAGAAAGGAGAUGGUAUGGUGUUACUGUCUGUCUUGGUGGUUGUAACUUGAGAAGACUAGAACAGAAGAAGCUUUGCUGUGUACUGUUUAAAGAAAUGAGUAAUAU
Molecule: long non-coding RNA, 1436 nt
Filed under: Capsella rubella
Lineage: Eukaryota; Viridiplantae; Streptophyta; Magnoliopsida; Brassicales; Brassicaceae
Description: long non-coding RNA (CRUB_LNC004407)
Source: RNAcentral